CAGUAGCCGCGGUAAUACGUAGGGUGCGAGCGUUAAUCGGAAUUACUGGGCGUAAAGCGUGCGCAGGCGGUUAUGUAAGACAGUUGUGAAAUCCCCGGGCUCAACCUGGGAACUGCAUCUGUGACUGCAUAGCUAGAGUACGGUAGAGGGGGAUGGAAUUCCGCGUGUAGCAGUGAAAUGCGUAGAUAUGCGGAGGAACACCGAUGGCGAAGGCAAUCCCCUGGACCUGUACUGACGCUCAUGCACGAAAGCGUGGGGAGCAAACAGGAUUAGAUACCCCCGUAGUCCCUGUCUCUUAUAC
RNAcentral lists this ribosomal RNA (301 nucleotides) under uncultured bacterium. RNAcentral describes it as "partial 16S ribosomal RNA". It matches the Rfam family "Bacterial small subunit ribosomal RNA", at positions 509 to 807 of the family's 1533-position model. The record is from RNAcentral.